GACGAACGCUGGCGGCGUGCUUAACACAUGCAAGUCGAACGGAAAGGCCCUGCUUUUGUGGGGUUCUCGAGUGGCGAACGGGUGAGUAACACGUGAGUAACCUGCCCUUGACUUUGGUAUAACUUCAGGAAACUGGGGCUAAUACCGGAUAGGAUCUCCUGCUGCAUGGUGGGGGGUGGAAAGUCGCGGCGGUUGUGGAUGGACGCGCGGCUUAUCAGCUUGUUGGUUGGGGAGUUGUUUGCCAAGGGUUUGAGGGGUAGCCGGCAGGGGAGGGUGAACGGCGACCUUGCGCCUGAGAGAGGGCGCAGACGGCAACGGGAGGCAGUAGUGGGAAACAUUGUACAACGGGCGGGAGCGUGAGGAGGAAACGCUGCGGGCGGGAAGCCGUUUUUCGGGUUGUAAAAAGCUGUCGGUUGUGACCCCGCGGGAGUGACGGUAACGAGUAAAGAAGCACCGGCUAACUUCGUG
This 468-nucleotide ribosomal RNA is filed under the name uncultured bacterium. RNAcentral describes it as "partial 16S ribosomal RNA". It matches the Rfam family "Bacterial small subunit ribosomal RNA", at positions 28 to 507 of the family's 1533-position model. The record is from RNAcentral.